GCCGGGGUAGCCUAGCCCGGACAAGGCGCCGGCCUUGAGAGCCGGUGGCCCCCUCGGGGCCGCGUGGGUUCAAAUCCCACCCCCGGCGCCA
Molecule: transfer RNA, 91 nt
Rfam family: tRNA
About the family: Transfer RNA (tRNA) molecules are approximately 80 nucleotides in length. Their secondary structure includes four short double-helical elements and three loops (D, anti-codon, and T loops).